UGGCAAGUCGACCAAAGGCGAAAGCAGUUAUCAAGUGCACACUCGUUGAUCAAGAGCGAAAGUUAAGGGUUCGAAGACGAUCAGAUACCGUCGUAGUCUUAACUAUAAAUGAUACUGACCAGGGAUAGGACUCUGUCCAUUCCGACUUCUUCUGGACCUUGGAGAAAUUACAGUCUUUGAGUUCUGGGGGGAGUAUGGUCGCAAGGCUGAAACUUAAAGGAAUUGACGGAAGGGCACACAAAGAGUGGAACCUGCGGCUUAAUUUGACUCAACACGGGAAAACUCACCAGGUCCAGAUACACGUAUGAAAGACAAGCUGAAAGACUUUUCUCAAUGAUGUAAGUGGUGGUGCAUGGUCGUUCUUAGUUCGUGGAUUGAUUUGUCUGGUCUAUUCCGAUAACGAGCGAGACCCCGGCGUUCCUAAUAGAGGCAGCAGCCCGACUUACCCCGCAAGGGGUCUGUUAGCAGCCGUCGUAUAAACUUCUUAGACGUAUCAGAGCCGAUAAGGUUCUUGAAAUGGGUUAAUAACAGGUCAGUCAUGCCCUUAGAUGUUCUGGGCCGCACGCGCGUUACAAUGGUAUAAAUAGAAAGUGCUCACACGGGCUUCUCCGCGGCCUAAUGGUCGCGGUAAUCCGUAAUCUCUCCCUUGACUGGGACAGACUAUUGCAAUUAUUGGUCUCAAACGAGGAAUUUUUAGWAGUCGCAGGUCAUUAACCUGCGABG
This 723-nucleotide ribosomal RNA is filed under the name Didymium eximium. Its description in RNAcentral is "SSU rRNA". The record is from RNAcentral. Lineage: Eukaryota; Evosea; Eumycetozoa; Physariida; Didymiaceae.